RNAcentral lists this ribosomal RNA (285 nucleotides) under uncultured Lachnospiraceae bacterium. RNAcentral's name for it is "partial 16S ribosomal RNA". The stretch from base 47 to 285 matches the Rfam family "Bacterial small subunit ribosomal RNA", at positions 100 to 339 of the family's 1533-position model. Lineage: Bacteria; Bacillati; Bacillota; Clostridia; Lachnospirales; Lachnospiraceae. The record is from RNAcentral.
UUUAGAACAGAUUACUUCGGUUUGAAGUUCUUUAUGACUGAGUGGCGGACGGGUGAGUAACGCGUGGGUAACCUGCCUUGUACUGGGGGAUAGCAGUUGGAAACGACUGGUAAUACCGCAUAAGCGCACAGCUUCGCAUGAAGCGGUGUGAAAAACUCCGGUGGUGUGAGAUGGACCCGCGUCUGAUUAGGUAGUUGGUGAGGUAACGGCCCACCAAGCCGACGAUCGGUAGCCGACCUGAGAGGGUGAUCGGCCACAUUGGGACUGAGACACGGCCCAAACUCC